AACGCACCUUGCACCCUUUGGUAUUCCAAAGGGUACACCCGUUUGAGUGUCAUUGUAAUCUCACUAUGUUCGACUUUUUGUCCUUCAUACGUGGACCUGGAUGUUGCCGUUGGUUUUUGACGGCUCAUCUGAAAUGCCUGAGUGUACCCCGCUUUGCGGCGUAUUCGGUGUAAUAUAUUGUCACCGGAGUUGAUCCUUUUGGGUCGCGUCUGUAGGAGUGUGGCUCUAUGCUUUCCAACCGUCCCUCUAUUGGGACAAUCUUCUUGACAAUUUGACCUCAAAUCGGGUGGGACUACCCGCUGAACUUAA
This 309-nucleotide unclassified non-coding RNA is filed under the name uncultured fungus. Its description in RNAcentral is "sequence contains ITS2". Lineage: Eukaryota; Fungi. The record is from RNAcentral.